GGACAGUGGCGCACGGGUGAGUAACACGUGAGCAAUCUGCCCGGAAGCCCGGAAUAGCCCUCCGAAAGGAGGAUUAAUGCCGGAUGUGGCCAACCUGCGAUUGCGGGUGACGCUAAAGAUUUAUCGCUUCUGAGAGGAGCUCGCGGCCCAUCAGCUUGUUGGUGAGGGUAAUGGCCCACCAAGGCGGUGACGGGUAGCUGGUCUGAGAGGAUGGUCAGCCACACUGGAACUGAGACACGGUCCAGACACCUACGGGUGGCAGCAGUCGAGAAUCAUUCGCAAUGGGGGCAACCCUGACGAUGCGACGCCGCGUGAAGGAUGAAGGCCCUAGGGUUGUAAACUUCUGUCAAGAGGGAAUAAGCAAGUGAAGGUACCUCUAGAGGAAGGGGCGGCUAAUUCCGUGCCAGCAGCCGCGGUAACACGGAAGCCCCGAGCGUUGUUCGGAUUUAUUGGGCGUAAAGGGUGCGUAGGCGGCGCGGAAAGUCUGGUGUGAAAGGCAGGGGCUCAACCUCUGGACUGCACUGGAUACUCCCGUGCUUGAGGACUGGAGGGGAGACUGGAAUUCACGGUGUAGCAGUGAAAUGCGUAGAUAUCGUGAGGAAGACCGGUGGCGAAGGCGAGUCUCUGGACAGUUCCUGACGCUGAGGCACGAAGGCUGGGGUAGCGAACAGGAUUAGAUACCCUGGUAGUCCCAGCAGUAAACGAUGUGAGCUUGAUGUGGGGGGAUUCGACCCCUUCCGUGUCGAAGUUAACGCGAUAAGCUCACCGGCUGAAGAGUACGAUCGCAAGAUUAAAACUCAAAGAAAUUGACGGGGACCCGCACAAGCGGUGGAGUAUGUGGGCUUAAUUCGAUGCAACGCGAAGAACCUUACCUGGCCUUGACAUUGCAUUGUGUCGUCGGUGAAAGCCGGCUAGUCCUGGAAACAGGACGCUUUGCACAGGUGCUGCAUGGCUGUCGUCA
This 961-nucleotide ribosomal RNA is filed under the name uncultured organism. RNAcentral's name for it is "bacterial SSU rRNA". It matches the Rfam family "Bacterial small subunit ribosomal RNA", at positions 90 to 1057 of the family's 1533-position model. The record is from RNAcentral.